ACCUACGGCCACACUACCCUGAAUGUGCCCAGUCUCGUCUGAUCUCAGAAGCUAAGCAGGGUCAGGCUUGGUUAGUACUUGGAUGGGAGACUUAGGAGGCCUCCAGAGUUGUCCCUU
This 117-nucleotide ribosomal RNA is filed under the name Oryctolagus cuniculus (rabbit). The record is from RNAcentral. Lineage: Eukaryota; Metazoa; Chordata; Mammalia; Lagomorpha; Leporidae.